RNAcentral lists this ribosomal RNA (324 nucleotides) under uncultured eukaryote. Its description in RNAcentral is "partial 18S ribosomal RNA". It matches the Rfam family "Eukaryotic small subunit ribosomal RNA", at positions 1470 to 1796 of the family's 1831-position model. The record is from RNAcentral.
CCCUUAGAUGUUCUGGGCCGCACGCGCGCUACACUGAAGGGAUCAGCGUGUUUUCCCUUUCCGAGAGGAACGGGUAACCCGCUGAACCCCCUUCGUGGUAGGGAUCGGAGCUUGCAAUUGUUCUCCGUGAACCAGGAAUUCCCAGUAAGCGCAAGUCAUAAGCUUGCGUUGAUUACGUCCCUGCCCUUUGUACACACCGCCCGUCGCUACUACCGAUUGAACGUUUUAGUGAGGCAUUUGGACCGACGCAUCUCAGUUUAACCGCUGGUUUGUGUUGGAAAGACUUCCAAACUUGAGCGUUUAGAGGAAGUAAAAGUCGUAACA